AUAUAUAACAGAAUAUAUUAAAAUUAUUUUUUAAAACAUUUUUCAAAAAACAUUGUUCGGUUUUUGGUGCGGAUUGAAUUUGAUAUUAGUUUUCAGAUAUAGCACUCUAAGAACCGCAAUUAUAAUCGUGUUUUAAUAGAAUAUAUUAAACACAAAUAUAAAUAAAAAAAAAACACAAAUAUAAAAAUUAAAUUACUCAAAAAAAUUAAAACAAAAAAUAUACCCGCCCUUCGAAAGGGCGGGUCAGAAUCUAGUACUCUAUUAAAAUAGAAUUAUGUUUUUUCUAUCUAUUGUAGAAAGGUUGUCAUUAAGUUUUGAACCUAUUAUCAUUGAGUUUUAUUAAUCUAAAUAUAAAUAUGCUCAACUCUAUUAAUUUGGCCAAUCAUUAUCUGUUAUUAAUCUUGCCAAUAUUUCGGUUGGCAUCAAAAUCAUUCCUAAAUUAACCAAAUUACAAAUAAUAGAUUUUGUAGGCAUAAAUAAUAAGUAGAAUUAUUAUAAGAAUUGCAAGAUUUUACCAUCAAUCUUGUCAGCCUUUUUAUCUCUCAUGUGAAGGUAGAAGUUGAAAUGACAAUACCACUCCCAAAAUUGAUUGAAGAACUACC
RNAcentral lists this long non-coding RNA (602 nucleotides) under Brassica rapa (field mustard). Its description in RNAcentral is "long non-coding RNA (BRAP_LNC001875)". Lineage: Eukaryota; Viridiplantae; Streptophyta; Magnoliopsida; Brassicales; Brassicaceae. The record is from RNAcentral.